GGGAGGGUGUAGUGGUUUGAGUGCUGGACUAUGACUCUGGAGACCAGGGUUCAAUUCUCAGCUCAGCCC
RNAcentral lists this transfer RNA (69 nucleotides) under Phrynosoma platyrhinos (Desert horned lizard). RNAcentral describes it as "tRNA-OTHER". Lineage: Eukaryota; Metazoa; Chordata; Lepidosauria; Squamata; Phrynosomatidae. The record is from RNAcentral.